RNAcentral lists this ribosomal RNA (675 nucleotides) under Triticum aestivum (bread wheat). RNAcentral's name for it is "partial small subunit ribosomal RNA". The record is from RNAcentral. Lineage: Eukaryota; Viridiplantae; Streptophyta; Magnoliopsida; Poales; Poaceae.
AUGGCCCUCCCGGCGGAACGCUCUCGCCCGCCAGAGGAUGGACGCGCUUCAAUUCGUGACGGGUCUUCCUCUUCGCCCCACAGCGGGACGGCGGCUGAGAGGCUCACCGACGACCUCCUCGUGGAGAUCCUCUCGCGCGUCCCGGCCAAGUCGCUCUGCCGCUUCAAGUGCGUCUCCAACCACUGGCUGAACCUCAUUGACCGCUCCGACCACCGCAAAAAGCUUCCCCAAACCCUCGCUGGCUUCUUCUAUACCAGCAGCAGGACGGAGUUCAUUUUGGAAUCACCUGUGCGCUUUGUCAGUGUCCCAGGGAGCCACUGCCCUCUGAUUGACACCACUUUCGCCUACCUGCCUAAACACGAGCACAUCUAUAUCUUGGACUGCUGCAAUGGCCUCCUCCUCUAUGGCCUCUACGCCCAGGAGAUCAGUUGCAUCGUGUGCAAUCCAGCCACGAAGAAGUGGGUCACGUUGCCCAACUCUGGCCAGGCCGCCGAGCAGGUGAUCGACACACGCUUGGGCUUUGAUCCGGCCAAAUCACCGCAUUUCCAUGUGUUUGAGUUCGUGGAGCAGGAGGGAGAUUGGACCAGCGACCUUGCCGGGGUGGCAGUGUAUUCGUCUGAAACCGGAAGAUGGGUUUAUAGGGAGAAGAAAUGGAAUGGACUCGUAACUCGAUAG